UAUCUAAGGUAACCGAAGGAGCAGAA
RNAcentral lists this non-coding RNA (26 nucleotides) under Rattus norvegicus (Norway rat). Lineage: Eukaryota; Metazoa; Chordata; Mammalia; Rodentia; Muridae. The record is from RNAcentral.